RNAcentral lists this small RNA (90 nucleotides) under Arabidopsis thaliana (thale cress). Its description in RNAcentral is "ATSL254540". The record is from RNAcentral. Lineage: Eukaryota; Viridiplantae; Streptophyta; Magnoliopsida; Brassicales; Brassicaceae.
AGCAACAACAACUUAAGGAAGGAUUGUUUUAGUUUUAUAUGUUAACUCUGGUUGUUAAUUUUAUCACAUGGCUGAUACUCUGAUUUUGAA